UCCAUUUUUACUGCAUACUCUAAUUCUUGAUUAUUUACAUAUUUAGGUUCAAGUAUAGAAAUCGAUAGUAUAGAAGAUGAGUUAAGAAAAGGGAACGAGGAAUUGUAGGUAUUAGUUUUUUUUUUUUUUGUGGCUAUGAGCACACAGACAGGGAAGGAGAAAUAAAUAAAAUAAAAAUAGGAGGGAUAAUACUUGAGUGUAGAUUGGGUGUGAAGGGUGCUUGUAAGAUGAAGGUGGAUAACGGGAUUUGAAGAGGAUGAUGAUGUGAGAUGGAUUAGAAAGGAAAAAUUUAGGGAAAAAGAAUAAGAGUGGAAGCAUCCAUGCAUCAAGAAAAAUCUUCAAAGUCAUGCAUAAAAGGCUAUACCUUUAGGGUAUAAUAUGGCUCGCGGCCCUACUCCACAUAGUAGGGAUACUCGAUAGACAUUCAGUUGGGAGUCUUUGCACUCAAUGCGGUCUGGCACAUAUUGAUGUCAUGGUUGAAAGGGU
Molecule: long non-coding RNA, 486 nt
Filed under: Vigna radiata
Lineage: Eukaryota; Viridiplantae; Streptophyta; Magnoliopsida; Fabales; Fabaceae
Description: long non-coding RNA (VRAD_LNC003418)
Source: RNAcentral